RNAcentral lists this long non-coding RNA (399 nucleotides) under Bos taurus (domestic cattle). Its description in RNAcentral is "long non-coding RNA NONBTAT018605". The record is from RNAcentral. Lineage: Eukaryota; Metazoa; Chordata; Mammalia; Artiodactyla; Bovidae.
AUAACUAAAUGGAUACUUCAGAACUGAUGGUAUUGAAACCCCACCAGGCAGAAGAAAGUUAACUACAGGACUGUAGCCAUGACAUAAGUUGCUCCAUGACAAUUUUGGAACUUGUCUCAAGGAAAUGGGAAUAAACUGAUCCUGGAACUGCAAAAUAACUGUAUUAAAACAAUCAAGAUGAUGCUGAUCAGACUAUCACAUGGUCAAUUUCAAAAUGAUUUUCAGAGCUGACUGUGCUGCUUUGCAUAUAACCCCCUCUUCCCACACAUACAACCCUGAAAAUCCUCCUUUGGAAAGCUCUUGCUCCCUGAUCAGCAACUGGGAGUUGUUUUUGGACAUGAGUACAACUUCUCCCUAGGUUGUUGGCUUCCUGAAUAAAGCAAGCUUUCUUUUCACACC